GACGUAGGGCGCGAGCGUUGUCCGGAUUUAUUGGGCGUAAAGAGCUCGUAGGCGGCUUGUUGCGUCAGCUGUGAAAACCCGCAGCUCAACUGUGGGCUUGCAGCUGGUACGGGCAGACUAGAGUGCGGUAGGGGAGACUGGAAUUCCUGGUGUAGCGGUGAAAUGCGCAGAUAUCAGGAGGAACACCGGUGGCGAAGGCGGGUCUCUGGGCCGUAACUGACGCUGAGGAGCGAAAGCAUGGGGAGCGAACAGG
RNAcentral lists this ribosomal RNA (253 nucleotides) under uncultured bacterium. Its description in RNAcentral is "partial 16S ribosomal RNA". It matches the Rfam family "Bacterial small subunit ribosomal RNA", at positions 524 to 776 of the family's 1533-position model. The record is from RNAcentral.